AUUGAACGCUGGCGGCAGGCCUAACACAUGCAAGUCGAACGGUAACAGGGAUCAGCUUGCUGAUUCGCUGACGAGUGGCGGACGGGUGAGUAAUGUCUGGGAAACUGCCUGAUGGAGGGGGAUAACUACUGGAAACGGUAGCUAAUACCGCAUAACGUCGCAAGACCAAAGAGGGGGACCUUCGGGCCUCUUGCCAUCGGAUGUGCCCAGAUGGGAUUAGCUAGUAGGUGGGGUAACGGCUCACCUAGGCGACGAUCCCUAGCUGGUCUGAGAGGAUGACCAGCCACACUGGAACUGAGACACGGUCCAGACUCCUACGGGAGGCAGCAGUGGGGAAUAUUGCACAAAGGGCGCAAGCCUGAUGCAGCCAUGCCGCGUGUAUGAAGAAGGCCUUCGGGUUGUAAAGUACUUUCAGCGGGGAGGAAGGGAGUAAAGUUAAUACUUUUGCUCAUUGACGUUACCCGCAGAAGAAGCACCGGCUAACUCCGUG
RNAcentral lists this ribosomal RNA (490 nucleotides) under uncultured bacterium. RNAcentral describes it as "partial 16S ribosomal RNA". It matches the Rfam family "Bacterial small subunit ribosomal RNA", at positions 30 to 507 of the family's 1533-position model. The record is from RNAcentral.